This 382-nucleotide ribosomal RNA is filed under the name uncultured eukaryote. RNAcentral's name for it is "partial 18S ribosomal RNA". It matches the Rfam family "Eukaryotic small subunit ribosomal RNA", at positions 592 to 976 of the family's 1831-position model. The record is from RNAcentral.
UGUAAGCGUAUACCAAAGUUGUUGCAGUUAAAACUCUCGUAGUCGGAAUUUGGCAGUUCCGGAUGUGUGCACGUCGUGUGCGCACUUCGCGGGGAUUGCUUUUGUGGUCUUGCGUAGGAUGAGGCACUUUUAUUAGUGAACGUCCUCACGCAACCACUUUUUACUGUGAGAAAAUCAGAGUGCUCAAAGCAGGCAUUUGCCGUGAAUGUAUUAGCAUGGAAUAAUAGAAUAGGACUUGGUUCUAUUUUGUUGGUUUGUUGGGACUGAGUAAUGAUUAAGAGGGACAGUUGGGGGCAUUUGUAUUUCGGUGCUAGAGGUGAAAUUCUUAGAUUACCGAAAGACAAACUGCUGCGAAAGCGUCUGCCAAGGAUGUUUUCAUUGA